Molecule: long non-coding RNA, 618 nt
Filed under: Danio rerio (zebrafish)
Lineage: Eukaryota; Metazoa; Chordata; Actinopteri; Cypriniformes; Danionidae
Description: lncRNA (ENSDARG00000117672.1)
Source: RNAcentral
UAUUUAUUUAUUUAUUUAUUUGUUUGUUUGUUUAUUUAUUUGUUUGUUUGUUUGUUUGUUUGUUUGUCACUAGCCAUUAAAUAAAUAUUUUUUUCCUCCAUCUUUUCACAGCCUAAAUGUUCACAUGACUAAACCCAUAAAUAACAUUGAUCUGUGAUUUAUGUUUCAGGGAUCUACCUGCUGGACAUCAUCUACAUCGACUCGGCCUAUCCAGCGUCUGACAGCAUCAUCGAGACGGAGCAGAGAGCCAAUCAGAUGAACAACAUCCUGCGGGUGAUCUCUGACCUCCAGAUGUCCUGCACAUACGAUCACCUCGUGACGCUCCCGCAUGUGCAGAAGUAUCUGAUGUCCGUCCGCUACAUCGAGGAGCUCCAGAAGUUUGUGGAAGACGACAACUUCAAACUGUCUCUGAAAAUCGAACCCGGGAACUGUUCACCGCGCAUGGCCACAUCCAAAGAAGACCUCGCAGGUGAGAAACUGCAUUAUUUAUUUAUUUAUUUAUUUAUUUAUUUAUUUAUUUAUUUAUUUAUUUAUUUAUUUAUUUAUUUGUUUGUUUGUUUGUUUGUUUAUUUGUUUAUGAUGAUGAUGAUGAUGAGAUGAUCAUUAUUAUUAUUAUUU